This 301-nucleotide ribosomal RNA is filed under the name uncultured bacterium. RNAcentral's name for it is "partial 16S ribosomal RNA". It matches the Rfam family "Bacterial small subunit ribosomal RNA", at positions 509 to 809 of the family's 1533-position model. The record is from RNAcentral.
CAGCCGCCACGGGAAUACAGAGGGUGCAAGCGUUGUUCGGAAUUAUUGGGCGUAAAGCGCGUGUAGGCGGCGUGACAAGUCGGGUGUGAAAGCCCUCAGCUCAACUGAGGAAGUGCGCCCGAAACUGUCGUGCUUGAGUGCCGGAGAGGGUGGCGGAAUUCCCCAAGUAGAGGUGAAAUUCGUAGAUAUGGGGAGGAACACCGGUGGCGAAGGCGGCCACCUGGACGGUAACUGACGCUGAGACGCGAAAGCGUGGGGAGCAAACAGGAUUAGAUACCCGAGUAGUCCCUGUCUCUUAUAA